UGGGGAAUCUUCCGCAAUGGACGAAAGUCUGACGGAGCAACGCCGCGUGAGUGAUGACGGCCUUCGGGUUGUAAAGCUCUGUUAAUCGGGACGAAAGGCCUUCUUGCGAAUAGUUAGAAGGAUUGACGGUACCGGAAUAGAAAGCCACGGCUAACUACGUGCCAGCAGCCGCGGUAAUACGUAGGUGGCAAGCGUUGUCCGGAAUUAUUGGGCGUAAAGCGCGCGCAGGCGGAUUGGUCAGUCUGUCUUAAAAGUUCGGGGCUUAACCCCGUGAUGGGAUGGAAACUGCCAAUCUAGAGUAUCGGAGAGGAAAGUGGAAUUCCUAGUGUAGCGGUGAAAUGCGUAGAUAUUAGGAAGAACACCAGUGACGAAGGCGACUUUCUGGACGAAAACUGACGCUGAGGCGCGAAAGCCAGGGGAGCGAACGGGAUUAGAUACCCCGGUAGUCCUGGCCGUAAACGAUGGGUACUAGGUGUAGGAGGUAUCGACCCCUUCUGUGCCGGAGUUAACGCAAUAAGUACCCCGCCUGGGGAGUACGACCGCAAGGUUG
RNAcentral lists this ribosomal RNA (550 nucleotides) under uncultured bacterium. Its description in RNAcentral is "bacterial SSU rRNA". It matches the Rfam family "Bacterial small subunit ribosomal RNA", at positions 355 to 896 of the family's 1533-position model. The record is from RNAcentral.